UUACACAUGCAAGUCGAACGAUGAUCCCCAGCUUGCUGGGGGGAUUAGUGGCGAACGGGUGAGUAACACGUGAGUAACCUGCCCUUGACUCUGGGAUAAGCCUGGGAAACUGGGUCUAAUACCGGAUAUGACCAUUCCGCGCAUGCGGUGGUGGUGGAAAGCUUUUGCGGUUUUGGAUGGACUCGCGGCCUAUCAGCUUGUUGGUGGGGUAAUGGCCUACCAAGGCGACGACGGGUAGCCGGCCUGAGAGGGUGACCGGCCACACUGGGACUGAGACACGGCCCAGACUCCUACGGGAGGCAGCAGUGGGGAAUAUUGCACAAUGGGCGAAAGCCUGAUGCAGCGACGCCGCGUGAGGGAUGACGGCCUUCGGGUUGUAAACCUCUUUCAGUAGGGAAGAAGCGAAAGUGACGGUACCUGCAGAAGAAGCGCCGGCUAACUACGUGCCAGCAGCCGCGGUAAUACGUAGGGCGCAAGCGUUAUCCGGAAUUAUUGGGCGUAAAGAGCUCGUAGGCGGUUUGUCGCGUCUGCUGUGAAAGACCGGGGCUCAACUCCGGUUCUGCAGUGGGUACGGGCAGACUAGAGUGAUGUAGGGGAGACUGGAAUUCCUGGUGUAGCGGUGAAAUGCGCAGAUAUCAGGAGGAACACCGAUGGCGAAGGCAGGUCUCUGGGCAUUAACUGACGCUGAGGAGCGAAAGCAUGGGGAGCGAACAGGAUUAGAUACCCUGGUAGUCCAUGCCGUAAACGUUGGGCACUAGGUGUGGGGGACAUUCCACGUUUUCCGCGCCGUAGCUAACGCAUUAAGUGCCCCGCCUGGAG
RNAcentral lists this ribosomal RNA (819 nucleotides) under Arthrobacter sp. RNAcentral describes it as "bacterial SSU rRNA". It matches the Rfam family "Bacterial small subunit ribosomal RNA", at positions 49 to 878 of the family's 1533-position model. The record is from RNAcentral. Lineage: Bacteria; Bacillati; Actinomycetota; Actinomycetes; Micrococcales; Micrococcaceae.